This 74-nucleotide transfer RNA is filed under the name Candidatus Staskawiczbacteria bacterium RIFOXYB1_FULL_37_44. RNAcentral's name for it is "tRNA-Ala". It matches the Rfam family "tRNA". From Rfam's summary of the family: Transfer RNA (tRNA) molecules are approximately 80 nucleotides in length. Lineage: Bacteria; Candidatus Staskawicziibacteriota. RNAcentral also lists the same sequence under 4 other names. The record is from RNAcentral.
GGGCCUGUAGUAAAGUGGUAUUAUGCGUCAUUCGCAUUGACGAGGCGGCGGUCCGAUUCCGCCCAGGUCCACCA